AUGCUCACGCAUCUCCCUAAGGCUGUAUUUGCUGCAAAAUACAUGCAGAUAAAGAGAAGAACAUUAAUCUGCGCCGUGAAGCACUACCAAAAACCACUGACCUCACACUUGUUCCAGAGGGACUCAAAAGCCAAAGGAAGAGGAACAAAAAGCUCCCACCAAACCUGCGGUAGCAAAAGCAAACUCAUCCUGCCUCAUCUUCUGCGUGCAGAAAAUAAACAAAAAGGAGCAUCUAUACCCAGAACUAUCUUCACAGGAAGUGACAGUGGUGUCAAAGUUCUCAGUAUGGCUCCACGUAUUUAUUUCUGCUGCUAUGUCAGAACAUAUGCUUUGUACCCCAGUGAAAACAGAAUUUUAUUCUGGUAAUAUGGAUAAGAAAUCGGUUAGAUAUGCAUCUUUUACUAGCGGUCCAUUGAAAGGUAAAAUUUGACUCUAAAGGCAAAUGGCCUAAUUUCUGGCAAUUCCUUUUAGGAUUAAUAGUUUCCUCUCUGCCAUAAAUCAUCACUAGCAUACACACCGGUAUAGAUUAAAGCUAUAGCAUUUUUACACACACGCAGGCAGUUCAGAUAAGCAGUUUCCAUUUAAGGUUUCAAUGGCUUGGCAAGAUCUCCCACAUAUGUUUUUUACUGCCAUAUACCAAAGCAACAUGAGAAAUGUACAGACUGGUAUAGCUGAUUAGCUAAAUUAUAUUCUGCGGGGCUGUCUUAACAGUUAACAUCAAAUCAGUUCUUUUAGAAAUAAGAUUAAAACCUAAAAUUAUUUAAUGUUGUUUAAUUAUUCUGAACAAAUAACUGAGUCCUCCUUGAGUUCAUAUAAUUAAAGUCAAAGUUUAUUUUGGGUUCAAGAAGGGAAUAGACCUGCAAAUUUCAUUAUCAAAAGUAUUCUCUACCACAAGGUACAAUCAACUAAGAGGUGAAGGACCACAAAUAGAGGGACUCUGUAUCUGAUCAGUAUGAGUCCUUGGGGUCAAUGUCUACAAGUGUACUUGAUUUUAUACUUCUGGAGGGAUUACAGAAAAGAUACAGAAGUAUGUUCAUCAGAAAAGUGUUUGUCCUACUACUAAAACUCUGAAAAUCACGAAAUAUUAUUAAAUUAUAGUACUACGGUAUGAUUUUUUGUAUUAUAAAUAAUAUAUUUGUAUUUCUAUUAGAGUAUACGGUGUUCUAUUUUAAAUAAUAUACUCCAUAACAUAGUUUCCUUUUCAGACAAUCUGCUGGAAGAUCUAUUUCCAGUAGCAAUAGCUCCAUCUGACAUGAAAGACCAAAUUAAAGACUAUAGACAAACUGAAUAAAAGUGAAGUAAUUUUAAUUGAUGACA
RNAcentral lists this long non-coding RNA (1317 nucleotides) under Anser cygnoides (Swan goose). RNAcentral describes it as "lncRNA (ENSACDG00005002070.1)". The record is from RNAcentral. Lineage: Eukaryota; Metazoa; Chordata; Aves; Anseriformes; Anatidae.